This 712-nucleotide long non-coding RNA is filed under the name Monodelphis domestica (gray short-tailed opossum). Its description in RNAcentral is "lncRNA (ENSMODG00000047865.1)". The record is from RNAcentral. Lineage: Eukaryota; Metazoa; Chordata; Mammalia; Didelphimorphia; Didelphidae.
GAAGCAAAUUUUGGACUUUCUGCCAAUCAGGUGGAACAAACAGCAGUUGGAAUGUUAGAGAGAAGAUAUUGACAAGAAUGACAGUUGGUGGGGGGAGGGGCAACUGGGAGUGGCAGUUGGUCUGGUGAUGCUCUCUCUUCCUGGCCCUUAGACUAAAAGGUGCCUGUCUGGAUAGAAGUGCCUCUAUUCCUGAUUUUCCCAGGGUCUCCCCUGCUCACGUGCUAUUGGUGGCUGGUGGCAGCGUGCUGAGUGUCUUGGUAUCUUGGCGUGGCAGAAGCUAUUGUCCGGGUUUGGCGAUAAGAAAAUAUUUCAACUGAUUUGCUGGAAUGUAUUAAUUGACAAGAAAGAAAUUGAACCUGUCCACAGGAAACUUAGGAAGAUUUAUAUGAACUGAUGCAGAGUACAAUGAUCAGAAAGAACCAAGAGAAAAAAGAAAAAAAAUUUGGCUGGAAGCAGAUUAAAAUGUAAUUGGGAGGGGCAGCAAAGUUGCACAAUGGGCAGAGUUCCAGGUCUGGAGUCUAGAAGAUCUAGGUUCAAAUCUGCCAUAGACACUUUCUAGUUCUAUGACCCUGGGAAGUCGCUUAAGCCCAAUUGCCUAGCCUUUGCCACUCUUCUGUCUUAGAAUUGAUUAGGACAAAAGGCAAGGGUUUUGUAAAAAAAUUAAUUGGGAAACAUUUAACAAAAUAAAUAAAUAAAUAAAUAAAAAUAAACA